UCCGUAGGCGGGCAAUUAAGUCAGAGGUGAAAUACCAUAGCUCAACUAUGGAACUGCCUUUGAUACUGGUUGACUUGAGUCAUAUGGAAGUAGAUAGAAUGUGUAGUGUAGCGGUGAAAUGCAUAGAUAUUACACAGAAUACCGAUUGCGAAGGCAGUCUACUACGUAUGUACUGACGCUGAGGGACGAAAGCGUGGGGAGCGAACAGGAUUAGAUACCCGGUAGUCC
Molecule: ribosomal RNA, 228 nt
Filed under: uncultured bacterium
Lineage: Bacteria
Description: partial 16S ribosomal RNA
Rfam family: Bacterial small subunit ribosomal RNA
Source: RNAcentral